This 449-nucleotide ribosomal RNA is filed under the name uncultured bacterium. RNAcentral describes it as "partial 16S ribosomal RNA". It matches the Rfam family "Bacterial small subunit ribosomal RNA", at positions 29 to 523 of the family's 1533-position model. The record is from RNAcentral.
AGCGAACGCUGGCGGCAGGCCUAACACAUGCAAGUCGAGCGAAGCCUUCGGGCUUAGCGGCGGACGGGUGAGUAACGCGUGGGAACGUGCCCUUUGGUACGGAAUAGCCCCGGGAAACUGGGAGUAAUACCGUAUGUGGUCGAGAGACGAAAGAUUUAUCGCCAAAGGAUCGGCCCGCGUUGGAUUAGGUAGUUGGUGGGGUAAUGGCCUACCAAGCCGACGAUCCAUAGCUGGUUUGAGAGGAUGAUCAGCCACACUGGGACUGAGACACGGCCCAGACUCCUACGAGAGGCAGCAGUGGGGAAUCUUAGACAAUGGGGGAAACCCUGAUCUAGCCAUGCCGCGUGAUCGAUGAAGGCCUUAGGGUUGUAAAGAUCUUUCAGUGGGGAAGAUAAUGACUGUACCCACAGAAGAAGCCCCGGCUAACUCCGUGCCAGCCGCCGCAGUAA